UUUUUAACUAUUUUGUACUUAUUAAAAUUUAUUAUUAUUAUUAUUAUUAUAAAAAAAUGUCUCAUUCACUUAGGCUCCCAAAUAUAUUGGGCCGCUUCUGGUUUUGUGUUUUUUUUUUACGUUCUCUUUGUCUAUCACUAGCAGGUUUGUCUUAUGGCCUAAAGUAUUUAAGUAUUUUAGUAGGUUCAUCAUCAAAGCGCGUGCGGGGUAAGACAGUUGGGAAAGGAAUUGAUAAGCUCAUUGCCCAGAAUGGCAGAGAAAAGCUCUCUGUUCCAAUACUUGAUGAGUGGAAUGCUUUGUGUGGUAUUAAUGCCCCAAAGGUAGCCAAUCAUAAUAUUUUCUUUAGAUUUUUAAUUUGUAUUUUUUUGAUGGUGAGAUCAAAAGCUGGCAAAAAGAAUAGGAAAAAGCUUGAGUAUAAUCAUUAUUCAGGAUCUCGGUCAUUUGUUGCAACAAUGACUAUACAGCAGGAGUUUAAUGGUUCUGAAAACCUUGAAUUUACAGAAUUCUUCAUCUUCUUCCACACCUAGUCGUGUGUCACAAGACCAUAUUGGAGAGUUGCAGAAACUUAAAGCUGAGAUGGAGGAGAUGAAGAUGGAGCGUGAGGAGUUGCGGAGGCAAUUGGAGCAGGAGAGGAGAGAGCAUGAGGAGGAAAAGAAAGAACGAGAGGAAGAACAGAAGCAAAUUGCACAUCUUACAAGUUUGGUGACAGAGUUCUUAAAGGAAAAGACUCAAACGCACAAGUCAUCUAUCCAUCAUGAUGGGGCCAUGUAUUCAACUGGUGGUACAAAUACUCGUUGAUAUAUGGUGGAGUUAUGAGCAUGUAAAAUCUAGUUUCUGGUAUAUGGAUAGCUUUUGUUCAGAUGAUUAUGGUGGAGUUGUCUACAAGCAGAAUUCAGUUUUUGGUAUAAGAUUAUUUUUGUCUACAUGAUGGUUGUUUGGAUGAAUAGCAAGAUCAGAUAUUUUGGGAUUUUUAAUUUACAUUUUGAUGUGUUUGGUGAUGAUUAUCACCUUAACAUAUGGUAUGGAUGAAACAUUUUGAUGUAUGGUUAAUAGGUAUGCUUGACUUUAGACUUAUAGAUGAUGAUAUUUAUAAUGAAUGAUUAUGGAUUCUCCAA
This is a non-coding RNA of Phoenix dactylifera (date palm), 1115 nucleotides long. The record is from RefSeq and is a predicted model, not a curated record. NCBI's taxonomy places the organism in Eukaryota, Viridiplantae, Streptophyta, Magnoliopsida, Arecales, Arecaceae.